Molecule: long non-coding RNA, 1322 nt
Filed under: Gossypium barbadense (sea-island cotton)
Lineage: Eukaryota; Viridiplantae; Streptophyta; Magnoliopsida; Malvales; Malvaceae
Description: long non-coding RNA (GBAR_LNC010943)
Source: RNAcentral
UCAUUUCAAGGGUGAAAUAAAACCCAAAUUUCAUUCACUCUUUUUGAUCUGCCGUUCUCUUUUGUUUUCCAAGGAAAAAACAAAACACCCUCUCCCCCUUUUGUCUUUCCAACGAUCGGGCUCCCUCACCGUCCACCGUACCACCACCGUUUUCGGUGGCCGGUGACGCGCAAUAAUAGGUAUUUCAACCCCGUUUUUGGGACCCUUUGAAGGCCGAGUUUUCAGCCAAACAAUGCGGAAAUGAAAGGGUCUCUCCCUCUCUAAAUGACGCGACCCUGACGACGGAGGAGGGAUCUCCGGUGAUGAAGCCCCGACCGAUUCCGGUGAGGCCCUCUACUCCCUCCUUUUAUUUAUUUUCGUGCCCACUUUAUUUAAUAGAUUUGCAAGUAAAGAUAAAAAGAAACUAAAAUAGAUUAGCAAUGAAAUGAAAACAAAGAGAAUAGAUCGGAAAUCACCCUUUUUUAUCUGUUUUGCUCUUGAUUUUUAUUGCUAAAUGUUCGUGUCCAAAAAAAACUACAAAUGGAUGUUUCGACUCUUAUAACUGAAUUACAUAGAUUCAUUUUUUGUUUUUUUUCUUCUUGUCUACUAUUUUUUCUUCUUCGUUUCUUGUGUUUCGCGUGCUAGUUUCGUCUUGCAGGUGUCAGACGUGUGGAAGGCCGAUGGUUGGUGCCCCAAGCGGUGGUGGUGGCGCGCGUGAUGGCCAAGGGCAGAGGGGGGAGUGGCGGCUGAACUUUGGUGGCUAGGGUUAGGGUGGCUGCUGAACAAAAGUUUAAGAUAGUGGGCUGACUUGGGCUUUAGGGUUUUAGGUUAUUGGGUUUAUUUUGGGCUAAAAUCUGGGUAUUGGGUUUUAAUUAGGUUUUGUUUUAAUUUUGAGCCAUGUAUUGGACUAUUUUUUUGUUUAUUUGGUUUGGGUUCUUUUAGGCCAAAAUUGGCUAUUACAUCUAGCAUUGGAGCUAAGCCAAAUUUCUCCAAUGUCUUAAGAACAUUAAGUAGUAAUCAAAAAAAUAAGAACCUCGUGUUGAGAUAUUUAUCAAUAUUUAAAGAGUAGUGCCGGCCAAUUUACUUCUAAGUCAUUAAAAAGAAACUUCAGUCCUCCAAUCACAAUUAAACACUUCUCUACAUUUUCAUCCAUAUCAGUGAGGGGCUCUGCAUUGAUAAUGGUAAAAUUUAUUUUGGCACUCUUAAAAAUAAUAAAAAUUUAAUUUAAUCCUUUAAAAAUUAUAAAGAUAUAGGCUAUUAAAAUAGUGAAUUGUAUUUUUAAUAUCGUAAAAACAUAUAAUUUAAUUCCGGCCUCCCAAAAAGAAAUUUUGACUCCGUCCCCC